UAGGGAAUCUUCCGCAAUGGACGAAAGUCUGACGGAGCAACGCCGCGUGAGCGAAGAAGGUCUUAGGAUCGUAAAGCUCUGUUGUCAGGGAAGAACAAGUGCCGUUCGAACAGGGCGGUACCUUGACGGUACCUGACGAGGAAGCCACGGCUAACUACGUGCCAGCAGCCGCGGUAAUACGUAGGUGGCAAGCGUUGCCCGGAAUUAUUGGGCGUAAAGCGCGCGCAGGCGGUUCCUUAAGUCUGAUGUGAAAUCUCGCGGCUCAACCGCGGGCGGCCGUUAGAAACUGGGGAACUUGAGUGCAGGAGAGGGGAGCGGAAUUCCACGUGUAGCGGUGAAAUGCGUAGAGGUGUGGAGGAACACCAGUGGCGAAGGCGGCUCUCUGGCCUGUAACUGACGCUGAGGCGCGAAAGCGUGGGGAGCGAACAGG
This 430-nucleotide ribosomal RNA is filed under the name bacterium. RNAcentral's name for it is "partial 16S ribosomal RNA". It matches the Rfam family "Bacterial small subunit ribosomal RNA", at positions 355 to 776 of the family's 1533-position model. The record is from RNAcentral.